RNAcentral lists this unclassified non-coding RNA (171 nucleotides) under Pseudotrachelocerca trepida. RNAcentral's name for it is "partial internal transcibed spacer 2". The record is from RNAcentral. Lineage: Eukaryota; Ciliophora; Litostomatea; Haptorida; Pseudotrachelocercidae.
CGAGAGACGGGCAUGCUUGUCUCUCAUGUCUGCUUCAGUGUGCUAGAAGCCCUCCAAAAACUAAAUGCGAUUGAUCUUCUCUCGCUAAGAACGCACGUGACGCAACGGUCUUCUUCGGAAGAGGCGACGCGGCUUACUUCUCACUGGACAUCUGAAGCCAGGCAAGACCAC